AGAAUAUAAAUUGUAUGAAAACAAAAAAUUAUGGCGGUAUUUUAAGCUUUUCAGAGGAAUUUGCUCUUUAAUGGAUAAAACACCUAAAUCUUACUAAAUUUAGUUAAACAGUUUGUAUACCACUAUUUAAGUAAUAAUUUGCUAUUAUUACUAAAAUUUAUAUUAAUUAAAAAAAGUUAAGUCAAGGUGCAGCAUAAAUUUUAGUAUGAAGUGAAUUACAUUUCUUUUAAGAAAAAUUUGUUGAAAAUAAAAUUUAGGAUUUGAAAGUAAAAUUUUAAUAGAAGGAAAAUUUGAAUUAAGCUCUAAAAUAUGUACAUA
RNAcentral lists this ribosomal RNA (318 nucleotides) under Haemaphysalis longicornis (longhorned tick). Its description in RNAcentral is "partial 12S ribosomal RNA". Lineage: Eukaryota; Metazoa; Arthropoda; Arachnida; Ixodida; Ixodidae. The record is from RNAcentral.